UACGGAGGGAGCUAGCGUUGUUCGGAAUUACUGGGCGUAAAGCGCGCGUAGGCGGCUUUGUAAGUUAGAGGUGAAAGCCCGGGGCUCAACUCCGGAACUGCCUUUAAGACUGCAUCGCUUGAAUCCGGGAGAGGUGAGUGGAAUUCCGAGUGUAGAGGUGAAAUUCGUAGAUAUUCGCAAGAACACCAGUGGCGAAGGCGGCUCACUGGCCCGAUACUGACGCUGAGGCACGAAAGCGUGGGGAGCAAACAGG
This 253-nucleotide ribosomal RNA is filed under the name uncultured bacterium. Its description in RNAcentral is "partial 16S ribosomal RNA". It matches the Rfam family "Bacterial small subunit ribosomal RNA", at positions 524 to 776 of the family's 1533-position model. The record is from RNAcentral.